This 143-nucleotide ribosomal RNA is filed under the name Emiliania huxleyi. The record is from RNAcentral. Lineage: Eukaryota; Haptophyta; Isochrysidales; Noelaerhabdaceae.
GCUUAGACGUUUUAUAGCGUAGUAGCUCCACAUCGAUCCAUUUCGAACUCGAUAGUGAAAGAUUAUAGCGGUGACGAUACUUAGAGGGGGGCCUCUUGGGAAAAUAACACAAUGUCUAAGUCGUCUUUAUAAACUAAUGUAAA